CCUACGGGAGGCAGCAGUGAGGAAUAUUGGUCAAUGGGCGGAAGCCUGAACCAGCCAAGUAGCGUGCAGGAUGACGGCCCUACGGGUUGUAAACUGCUUUUAUACGGGAAUAACGCGCCUUACGUGUAGCGCUUUGAAUGUACCGUAUGAAUAAGGACCGGCUAAUUCCGUGCCAGCAGCCGCGGUAAUACGGAGGAUCCGGGCGUUAUCCGGAUUUAUUGGGUUUAAAGGGAGCGUAGGCGGCAUGUCAAGUGAGCUGUGAAAUCCCGGGGCUCAACUCGGGCCUUGCCUCGCAUACUGGCGUGCUAGAGUCUAGGUGCGGUAGGCGGAAUGUGUGGUGUAGCGGUGAAAUGCAUAGAUAUGACAAAGAACACCGAUUGCGAAGGCAGCUUACUGAA
This 398-nucleotide ribosomal RNA is filed under the name uncultured bacterium. Its description in RNAcentral is "partial 16S ribosomal RNA". It matches the Rfam family "Bacterial small subunit ribosomal RNA", at positions 338 to 733 of the family's 1533-position model. The record is from RNAcentral.